AAACGAGGCACUGAUGCAAGCACUUGAGGAAGAGGAAGCUCAAAUGGAAGACAAAACAAAAAAGAUUGAGGAAAUGGAGAGACUCCUGCUUCAAAAAAAUAAAGAUAUGGAGAACCUUGAAGUUUCCCGUGGAAAGACCAUGAAGAAGCUUUCUGUUACAGUAAGCAAAUUUGAUGAACUUCAUCAACUAUCUGAAAGCCUUCUGUCCGAGGUUGAGAAUCUUCAGUCACAAUUACAAGAGCGAGAUACAGAGAUUUCUUUCUUGAGGCAAGAAGUUACAAGAUGCACUAAUGAUGCAAUAGCUUCUGCUCAGAUGAGUAGCAAAAGAGAUGGUGAUGAAAUCCAUGACAUUUUGACAUGGAUAGACAAGAUGAUUUCUCGAGUCCAGGCUCAUGAUAUGGAUUAUGAUGAUGGAAAAGUCAACCAGAUUCAUGAUUAUAAAGAAAUGAUAGAGAAACAGGUGGUGGCUGUAAUAUCUGAGUUGGAGGACCUGCGUGCACUGGCACAGAAAAGAUAUUUGAUGUUGAAAGUAGAGAAAGAUAAAGUAGAACAACUGGUGAGAAAAGAAGAAUUUCUUGAGAACUCUUUGCGUGACAAGGAAUUUCAAUUAACCAUGCUUCGAGGUGCUAGUGGCAUGGGGCAACUAGCGAAUUCUUCAUCAGAGAUUAUAGAGAUAGAGCCAGUGGCCAACAAAAGGGUAGUGCCUGGAACUGUUGCAUCUCAAGUUCGCAGUUUGCGAAAAACUAAUAAUGACCAAGUAGCUGUUGCUAUAGAUGUGCAUCCUGAUAGUGGGAAACUAGAUGAUGAAGAUGAUGAUAAGGCUCAUGGUUUCAAGUCAAUGACGACAUCAAGAAUUGUCCCACGGUUUACAAGACCCAUAACCGACAUGAUAGAUGGUCUAUGGGUAUCCUGUGAUCGCACACUAAUGCGGCAGCCUGUUCUACGGCUUAGUAUGAUCAUCUAUUGGGUUGUGUUGCAUGCUCUUCUUGCGACAUUUGUAGUAUGACGGCAGAACAGGUCCGUUGUCUGAUUUUCUCACUGUGAUUACUUGUGGAGUCACGGGCAAGAUAUAGUUCAUGGCUGUCUUCACAAUCUUCUGUAAAUCAUCCAAGUUAGUUUUGACUCGAUUGUGAUUGAUCACUUCAUUAUUUUGCUCGACCAAGCAAUUCGUGAUUUGUUCUGUUUUUUUUGUGAAUCGCGUUCUUGGUUGCAUACUCAUAUAUAGGCAAAAUCCAUAGUACUGUAAUCCAAAUAUGAUACUUCAUAGCAGUAGGGAACUGGGCACAUUGAUGGGAAAUUAGUUUAGUGAAGAUCACAGUCAAAAGAUGUGUACAUUUUUUAAUAGUACCCAUUUGUUAUAGAUUUUCAAUAAGAAAUGUGUAGGUGUUUCUUGUACUACCACA
Molecule: unclassified non-coding RNA, 1403 nt
Filed under: Hevea brasiliensis (rubber tree)
Lineage: Eukaryota; Viridiplantae; Streptophyta; Magnoliopsida; Malpighiales; Euphorbiaceae
Source: RNAcentral